GACGAACGCUGGCGGCGUGCUUAACACAUGCAAGUCGAACGGAAAGGCCCUGCUUUUGUGGGGUGCUCGAGUGGCGAACGGGUGAGUAACACGUGAGUAACCUGCCCUUGACUUUGGGAUAACUUCAGGAAACUGGGGCUAAUACCGGAUAGGAGCUCCUGCUGCAUGGUGGGGGUUGGAAAGUUUCGGCGGUUGGGGAUGGACUCGCGGCUUAUCAGCUUGUUGGUGGGGUAGUGGCUUACCAAGGCUUUGACGGGUAGCCGGCCUGAGAGGGUGACCGGCCACAUUGGGACUGAGAUACGGCCCAGACUCCUACGGGAGGCAGCAGUGGGGAAUAUUGCACAAUGGGCGGAAGCCUGAUGCAGCAACGCCGCGUGCGGGAUGACGGCCUUCGGGUUGUAAACCGCUUUCGCCUGUGACGAAGCGUGAGUGACGGUAAUGGGUAAAGAAGCACCGGCUAACUACGUGCCAGCAGCCGCGGUGAUACCUAGGGUGCGAGCGUUGUCCGGAUUUAUUGGGCGUAAAGGGCUCCUAAGUGGUUGAUCGCGUCGGAAGUGUAAUCUUGGGACUUAACCCUGAGCGUGCUUUCGAUACGGGUUGACUUGAGGAAGGUAGGGGAGAAUGGAAUUCCUGGUGGAGCGGUGGAAUGCGCAGAUAUCAGGAGGAACACCAGUGGCGAAGGCGGUUCUCUGGGCCUUUCCUGACGCUGAGGAGCGAAAGCGUGGGGAGCGAACAGGCUUAGAUACCCUGGUAGUCCACGCUGUAAACGGUGGGUACUAGGUGUGGGGUCCAUUCCACGGGUUCCGUGCCGUAGCUAACGCUUUAAGUACCCCGCCUGGGGAGUACGGCCGCAAGGCUAAAACUCAAAGGAAUUGACGGGGCCCCGCACAAGCGGCGGAGCAUGCGGAUUAAUUCGAUGCAACGCGUAGAACCUUACCUGGGUUUGACAUGGAUCGGGAGUGCUCAGAGAUGGGUGUGCCUCUUUUGGGGUCGGUUCACAGGUGGUGCAUGGCUGUCGUCAGCUCGUGUCGUGAGAUGUUGGGUUAAGUCCCGCAACGAGCGCAACCCUUGUUCACUGUUGCCAGCACGUUAUGGUGGGGACUCAGUGGAGACCGCCGGGGUCAACUCGGAGGAAGGUGGGGAUGACGUCAAGUCAUCAUGCCCCUUAUGUCCAGGGCUUCACGCAUGCUACAAUGGCUGGUACAGAGAGUGGCGAGCCUGUGAGGGUGAGCGAAUCUCGGAAAGCCGGUCUCAGUUCGGAUUGGGGUCUGCAACUCGACCUCAUGAAGUCGGAGUCGCUAGUAAUCGCAGAUCAGCAACGCUGCGGUGAAUACGUUCCCGGG
Molecule: ribosomal RNA, 1343 nt
Filed under: uncultured bacterium
Lineage: Bacteria
Description: 16S ribosomal RNA
Rfam family: Bacterial small subunit ribosomal RNA
Source: RNAcentral